RNAcentral lists this unclassified non-coding RNA (778 nucleotides) under Homo sapiens (human). RNAcentral's name for it is "chromosome 2 open reading frame 92 (ENSG00000291598.1)". The record is from RNAcentral. Lineage: Eukaryota; Metazoa; Chordata; Mammalia; Primates; Hominidae.
UUCACUGUGUUAGCCAGGAUGGUCUCGAUCUCCUGACCUCAUGAUCCGCCCGCCUCGGCCUCCCAAAGUGCUGGGAUUACAGGCGUGAACCACCAUGCCCGGCCCAGAAUGUCCUUUCUUUUCGAAGCGGAGUAAUAUUCCAUUAUCACCUUUCAGAGGAGAAGAAUUUUAAAGAAUCCUGUCUGUUCGACAGGGAUUUAAGAGAGCAGUUAACUACUAUAGAUAAAGAAACACUUCAAGGAGCAGCUAAACCAGAUGCUCACUUUAGGACUAUGCCCUGCGGGCAGCUUCUGCACUUCCUGCAGAGGAACACCAUCAUCGCCGCCGUCUCAGGGGUGGCCAUCCUCAUGGCCAUCGUGCUGUUGCUGCUUGGGUUGGCCUCAUACAUCAGGAAGAAACAGCCAUCAUCUCCUCUGGCAAACACGACAUAUAAUAUUUUUAUAAUGGAUGGAAAGACAUGGUGGCACAAUUCUGAAGAAAAAAAUUUCACAAAACUUGCAAAAAAACAGAAACAGUUGAAGAGCAGCUCCUGUGUCUAAGCCAGGUCGUGGGGCCGUCAAACCAGGACUUGAAACCACAAUGCGAGGACAUUCUCCAUCUGCGCACCACAGGGAGGCAAUUCCAUUUCUGCCCGGGAGGUGUAUUCUACAAAAACGUCUGCUUCCCAUCCCAAUUUGAAUGGACCAAGAAAAACUGCUUUACCAUAGGACACUUGUGGCAAUAUGGCACCGAUGGCUGGCGUCGGUGAACCCGACAGACUAUGGAUUUAUCAUUUAAU